UGCCAGCCGCCGCGGUAAUACGGAGGGUCCAAGCGUUAUCCGGACUUAUUGGGUUUAAAGGGUUCGUAGGCGGGAUAUUAAGUCAGAGGUGAAAUCUCACAGCUCAACUGUGGAACUGCCUUUGAUACUGAUAUUCUUGAGAUAGGUUGCAGUAGGCGGAAUGUGACAUGUAGCGGUGAAAUGCAUAGAGAUGUCACAGAACACCAAUUGCGAAGGCAGCUUACUAAGCCUUAUCUGACGCUGAUGAACGAAAGCGUGGGUAGCGAACAGGAUUAGAUA
RNAcentral lists this ribosomal RNA (279 nucleotides) under uncultured bacterium. RNAcentral's name for it is "partial 16S ribosomal RNA". It matches the Rfam family "Bacterial small subunit ribosomal RNA", at positions 506 to 784 of the family's 1533-position model. The record is from RNAcentral.